This 429-nucleotide ribosomal RNA is filed under the name bacterium. RNAcentral's name for it is "partial 16S ribosomal RNA". It matches the Rfam family "Bacterial small subunit ribosomal RNA", at positions 355 to 776 of the family's 1533-position model. The record is from RNAcentral.
UAGGGAAUCUUCGGCAAUGGGGGCAAUCCUGACCGAGCAACGCCGCGUGAGUGAAGAAGGUUUUCGGAUCGUAAAGCUCUGUUGUAAGAGAAGAACGUGUGUGAGAGUGGAAAGUUCACACAGUGACGGUAACUUACCAGAAAGGGACGGCUAACUACGUGCCAGCAGCCGCGGUAAUACGUAGGUCCCGAGCGUUGUCCGGAUUUAUUGGGCGUAAAGCGAGCGCAGGCGGUUUAAUAAGUCUGAAGUUAAAGGCAGUGGCUUAACCAUUGUUCGCUUUAGAAACUGUUAAACUUGAGUGCAGAAGGGGAGGGUGAAAUUCCAUGUGUAGCAGUGAAAUGCGUAGAUAUAUGGAGGAACACCGGUGGCGAAAGCGGCUCUCUGGUCUGUAACUGACGCUGAGGCUCGAAAGCGUGGGGAGCAAACAGG